This 109-nucleotide ribosomal RNA is filed under the name Pteropus alecto (black flying fox). The record is from RNAcentral. Lineage: Eukaryota; Metazoa; Chordata; Mammalia; Chiroptera; Pteropodidae.
AUCUAUGGCCAUGCUACCCUGAACAAGCCUGAUCUCGGAAGCUAAGCAAGGUCAGGCCUCGUUAGUACUUGGAUGGGAGACCACCUAGGAAGACCGGGUGCUGUAGGCG